CAGUCGCCGCGGUAAUACGGAGGGUGCAAGCGUUAAUCGGAAUUACUGGGCGUAAAGCGCGCGUAGGUGGUUCGCCAAGUUGGAUGUGAAAUCCCCGGGCUCAACCUGGGAACUGCAUCCAAAACUGGCGAGCUAGAGUAUGGUAGAGGGUGGUGGAAUUUCCUGUGUAGCGGUGAAAUGCGUAGAUAUAGGAAGGAACAUCAGUGGCGAAGGCGACCACCUGGACUGAUACUGACACUGAGGUGCGAAAGCGUGGGGAGCAAACAGGAUUAGAUACCCCUGUAGUCCCUGUCUCUUAUAC
Molecule: ribosomal RNA, 301 nt
Filed under: uncultured bacterium
Lineage: Bacteria
Description: partial 16S ribosomal RNA
Rfam family: Bacterial small subunit ribosomal RNA
Source: RNAcentral